AUGAACGCUGGCGGCGUGGAUAAGGCAUGCAAGUCGAACGGUUUCAAUAAGUCCCGCAAGGGAUUUGUUGAGACAGUGGCAGACGAGGUAGUAAUAAGUAGGUACGAACCUUCGAGUCGUGAAUAGUCCGCCGAAAGGCGGAGUAAUACACGAUGGUCUCUCCGGAGUAAAUCCGUCUCUGACGGAGCUUGAAGAUCGGCCUGCUCGGUAUCAGCUAGUUGGUAGGGUAACGGCCUACCAAGGCGAUGACGCCUAGGGGACCUGAGAGGGUGACCCCCACCGAUGGCACUGCGACACGGGCCAUACACCUACGGGUGGCUGCAGUCGAGAAUCUUCCACAAUGGACGAAAGUCUGAUGGAGCGACGCCGCGUGAUGGAUGAAGUUCUUCGGAACGUAAACAUCUUUUAUUGGGGACGAAUCUGCCGUAAGGCAGUUUGACGGUACCCAAAGAAUAAGGGGUUGCUAAACUCGU
This 473-nucleotide ribosomal RNA is filed under the name uncultured bacterium. Its description in RNAcentral is "bacterial SSU rRNA". It matches the Rfam family "Bacterial small subunit ribosomal RNA", at positions 29 to 506 of the family's 1533-position model. The record is from RNAcentral.